This 253-nucleotide ribosomal RNA is filed under the name uncultured bacterium. RNAcentral describes it as "partial 16S ribosomal RNA". It matches the Rfam family "Bacterial small subunit ribosomal RNA", at positions 524 to 776 of the family's 1533-position model. The record is from RNAcentral.
UACGUAGGGGGCAAGCGUUGUCCGGAUUUAUUGGGCGUAAAGAGCGUGUAGGCGGCUAGGUAGGUCCGUUGUGAAAACUCGAGGCUCAACCUCGAGACGUCGAUGGAAACCAUCUAGCUAGAGUCCGGAAGAGGAGAGUGGAAUUCCUGGUGUAGCGGUGAAAUGCGCAGAUAUCAGGAAGAACACCGAUAGCGAAGGCAGCUCGCUGGGACGGUACUGACGCUGAGGUGCGAAAGCGUGGGGAGCGAACAGG